Molecule: ribosomal RNA, 328 nt
Filed under: uncultured eukaryote
Lineage: Eukaryota
Description: partial 18S ribosomal RNA
Rfam family: Eukaryotic small subunit ribosomal RNA
Source: RNAcentral
CCCUUAGAUGUCCUGGGCCGCACGCGCGUUACACUGAUGCAUUCAACGAGCUUAUAACCUUGGCCGAGAGGCCUGGGCAAUCUUGUUAACGUGCAUCGUGAUAGGGAUAGAUUAUUGAAAUUAUUAAUCUUGAACGAGGAAUUCCUAGUAAACGCAGAUCAUCAAUCUGCAUUGAUUACGUCCCUGCCCUUUGUACACACCGCCCGUCGCUACUACCGAUUGAAUGGCUUAGUGAGCCUUUGGGAUUGGCAGCUUGUACCGGCAACGGUAGCAGGCCGCUGAAAACUUAGGCAAACUUGGUCAUUUAGAGGAAGUAAAAGUCGUAACA